GCUUCUGGUCAAUUCCCUGGAAGGUCAGAGAAAGAACCUCCUUCAACUCUUAUGUGGACCUUAUUCCUAUUAGCACAGCAUUACGACAGAAGGGGACAAUAUGAAAUCGCUCUUUCUAAAAUUGAUGAGGCCAUUGAGCACACCCCAACCGCGAUUGAUUUAUACUCAAGCAAGGUUGGUUAGGAUUCUUAAUGAAAGUUUUUUUAAUGUAAAUGUUUUCUGGAAUAAGUUUUAUGGAUUUUUUUCUUAAUAUAAUCUUAUGAUUUGUUUCCCUUCUUAAUCUUG
Molecule: long non-coding RNA, 285 nt
Organism: Humulus lupulus (European hop)
Lineage: Eukaryota; Viridiplantae; Streptophyta; Magnoliopsida; Rosales; Cannabaceae
Exons: 3
Source: RefSeq, a predicted model, not a curated record